Cyprinus carpio carpio is the source of this 788-nucleotide long non-coding RNA. NCBI's taxonomy places the organism in Eukaryota, Metazoa, Chordata, Actinopteri, Cypriniformes, Cyprinidae. The record is from Ensembl.
AUCAAGUGCAGAGAGUGAGGUUGAUGCAGAAAGUGAGGUCGAUGAAGGAAAUCUCACAUAUCCACAGACUGAUUCUACAGAGAUGAAAAGAACAACACAACCUGUUGAAGCUUCAGGUUCUGCAGGACUGCUGAAUGCUAGGCAACUUGUUGAGAAACUUCCAGGCAUGUCUGCGCCAUUAUCACAAGCAUGUGAAAACGCAGAUGGAAAGGGCAAAGAACCCAGCAGAAAACUAAUGGAGGACAAAGAGCCCAUCAGAAAAAAGACAACGAAUAAACAGUCUGUUCCUCUGGAAAGUGCUAGGAGAGCAAAAAAGCAUCAAUGGUCUCCCAUGGAGGUUGCCGCGGUCAUGAGACAUUUUGACGAACACAUCAAAAAAGGAAAACUGGCCACUAUGAUUGAAUGCCAGCAAUGCAAGGAGGCAGAAGAUCCUGCUCUGGCUGGUCGCUCUAUUCUAAACAUAAGAGACUUCGUAAGAAAUCGUGGUGUGACUUUGAAAAGAAAAAAUAAUCCUAGCUAUAAUAUGGAAAUGUAAUGAAUUGUCCACCAGUGAUGUCAUCUCCACACAGUCCAUUUAGUUCUAAUUUGGUUUAGUUUGCCUGUUAAGUUAUGUUUCCGGUGUUCCUUUUUUGUCCUUUUCCAGCCACUAAUCAGUUACCAUGGAACAUUCAUUUACUAAAAAAACAGUUAUUAGUCGUGAAGUUCAUCAUUAUACCGUGCAUUUAAGCUCCUCUUUAGUUCUCAUUUUCUGUCCGGUUUUUGUUAUACCUGCAGUUUUGUUGCUGUCU